CCAAUACAGUGAGACGUCUAGUUUCUCUCGUUUAUCAGUAUGUUCUACGAUUCUCGUUAUAUUUACGGUGACCAGAAUGUUGAAGUACCGGCCCAUUUGAAUUUUGGAAAAUAUAUAUUGGACCGGCUACGAUUGAUGAAUAAUGAAGUAGCACUGGAAAAUGGAGAUACUCAUGAGAAACUUACCUACAAAGAACUUACUGAUUAUGCAGUCAACCUGUCAAUAUCAUUAGCUACGAUUGGUGUCAAAAAAGGCGACGUAGUUGCCGUGGGUGCUGAAAAACGCUUGGAAUUCGUGCCUACUGUUCUAGCUAUAGUAUUCACGGGCGCAACAUACACCCCUUAUGAUUUAAAAAGUGGCAGAGCGAUAUUGAAACAUAAAUUAAGCAUAACAAAACCAAAGUACUUUAUAUGUAGCAAUUUAUUUUGGAGUUCAUACAAAGAUAUUUUGACGGAGUUUGAUUGCAUAAAGUAUUUUAUAACAUUGGAUGAAGCUACAGACCAGUUACUUUCUGUAAAAUCUUUGAUUUCGUGUAAAAAUAACACGAAUCACUUCGAACCGCCAGCAAUAGUACAAGGUCAAACUGAUGUUGCAUUCAUUCUGUAUUCGUCCGGUACCACGGGCAUGCCAAAAGGAGUUCAAUUAACACAUCUAAACUGUAUUCUCAAUAGUUUACCAAAUGAUUUCAAAGAUCCAUCACUACAUACAGCGUUCGUAUAUGGAGAGUGGUAUCACAAUUAUGAUACAUUCAUGACGUAUAAAUUCUUAUCCGCCGGCAAAAAAGUGGUUUACAUUAACGAACCGACACUAGAAUCAUUUCUAAAAUGUGUAGAUGAAUGCAAGGUUGACGUAGCAUUCUUGGUUCCAUCAAUUGUCGGAUUUUGCUCAAAAGCGGAAGGUGUAGAAAAAUAUAAUUUAAAAUCAUUGAAAAUUAUUUAUUCUCGGUCAUCUCCACUUCAUAGUAAAAUAAUAGAAAUUGUUAAAAAAAGAUUCCCUGGCUUACAAAAUAUCUUACAAGGCUAUGGCAUGACUGAAUGUGGUGAACCUACUUCCGAGAUAUGGGGUAUAAAAGGCCCGAAAUCAGGUAGCGUCGGAAUGGCCUCUCCUGGACUAAUAAUAAAGGUUGUAGAUCCUCAAACAAACAAGAUCCUAGGUCCAAACCAACGCGGUGAGAUUCGGGUAGCGGGAUCAGUUUUUAUGAAAGGCUACAUGGGUAUCGACCCUUCAACGUACUUAGAUGAAGAAAACUUUUUUAAAACUGGCGAUUUCGGAUACUACGAUGAAGACAAAUAUUUCCACAUCGUUGAUAGAUUCAAGGACAUAAUUGUUUACGAUGGCUAUAAGGUUGCUCCUUUAGAAUUAGAGUCAAUAUUAUUGACUCACCCAGGUGUUCGUGAGGCUGCAGUAGUAGGAAAAACAGUGCCAGACUACGGAGAGGAGCCAACAGCAUUUGUUGUGAAACAAUCUAGCACCAGCGUCACUGAUAAAGAAUUAGUCGAUUACGUUGCCAAUGAGGUAGCUCCAUAUAUGCAGCUUAGGGGUGGCGUAAUAUUCCUGGAUGAAAUUCCGCGGAACACGAGAGGGAAAAUUCUACGACGCCAGCUAAGGGAAAUGUUAAAUUAAAUGACAUUUUAUAAGAAUUAUUAAACAACAACACGAUAUAUUGAUGGAUUAUUUAUCAAAUAAAUAGAACUAUCAGUCCCACUGCUAGCAAUAUACCCUAUCAGAUCGACCUCCACGUGAUUCCCCCUGGAAAUCAUCGUGCUGAAUUCCAGGUGUAUUCAUCACGGUGGGCUAACUGACCCGCCGUAUCAUCUUCACCUAUCAUCCCUCACUGAUGCCCCGUCAACGUAUACCGUUAAUGUAGGCGGGGUUACCAUUCUAUUAUCAUCCAUUGAAAAAAAAACCAUUGAAAUUUCUUUGCAGGGCACGAAUUUUUUUUCUCGUAUAAUAUGUAUACUAAUGUACAAUAAAUAUCUAAUCAAUAUUUGAGUUAUAUUAGGAAAUAUUUAAUUAUAUAUAGUGAAUAAAAAUAUUUAA
RNA transcript from Galleria mellonella (greater wax moth), 2040 nucleotides. RefSeq lists it as uncharacterized. The transcript is spliced from 10 exons. The record is from RefSeq and is a predicted model, not a curated record. Lineage: Eukaryota; Metazoa; Arthropoda; Insecta; Lepidoptera; Pyralidae.